UUCGAACGGCAGCGCGGGUGCUUGCACCUGGCGGCGAGUGGCGAACGGGUGAGUAAUGUAUCGGAACGUGCCCAGUAGCGGGGGAUAACUACGCGAAAGCGUGGCUAAUACCGCAUACGCCCUUAGGGGGAAAGGUGGGGAUUCUUCGGAACCUGCCACUAUUGGAGCGGCCGAUAUCGGAUUAGCUAGUUGGUGGGGUAAAGGCCUACCAAGGCGACGAUCCGUAGCUGGUUUGAGAGGACGACCAGCCACACUGGGACUGAGACACGGCCCAGACUCCUACGGGAGGCAGCAGUGGGGAAUUUUGGACAAUGGGGGAAACCCUGAUCCAGCCAUUUCGCGUGUGCGAUGAAGGCCUUCGGGUUGUAAAGCACUUUUGGCGGGGAAGAAAAGCGCCGGGCUAAUACCCUGGCGUGCUGACGGUACCCGCAGAAUAAGCACCGGCUAACUACGUGCCAGCAGCCGCGGUAAUACGUAGGGUGCAAGCGUUAAUCGGAAUUACUGGGCGUAAAGGGUGCGUAGGCGGUUGCGCAAGACAGA
RNAcentral lists this ribosomal RNA (540 nucleotides) under uncultured Burkholderiales bacterium. RNAcentral's name for it is "bacterial SSU rRNA". It matches the Rfam family "Bacterial small subunit ribosomal RNA", at positions 61 to 592 of the family's 1533-position model. Lineage: Bacteria; Pseudomonadati; Pseudomonadota; Betaproteobacteria; Burkholderiales. The record is from RNAcentral.